UUCCCUGUGGUCUAAUGGUCAGGAUACAUAGCUUUCACCUAUGAGGUCGGGGUUCAAUUCCUCGCAGGGAAG
RNAcentral lists this transfer RNA (72 nucleotides) under Megaviridae environmental sample. RNAcentral describes it as "tRNA-Glu". It matches the Rfam family "tRNA". Rfam says of the family: Transfer RNA (tRNA) molecules are approximately 80 nucleotides in length. Their secondary structure includes four short double-helical elements and three loops (D, anti-codon, and T loops). The record is from RNAcentral. Lineage: Varidnaviria; Bamfordvirae; Nucleocytoviricota; Megaviricetes; Imitervirales; Mimiviridae.